RNAcentral lists this transfer-messenger RNA (129 nucleotides) under Rhodospirillaceae bacterium. Its description in RNAcentral is "partial transfer-messenger RNA". It matches the Rfam family "Alphaproteobacteria transfer-messenger RNA", at positions 1 to 131 of the family's 355-position model. From Rfam's summary of the family: Bacterial tmRNA, also known as 10Sa RNA or SsrA, is named for its dual tRNA and mRNA-like properties. The record is from RNAcentral. Lineage: Bacteria; Pseudomonadati; Pseudomonadota; Alphaproteobacteria; Rhodospirillales; Rhodospirillaceae. RNAcentral also lists the same sequence under 1 other name.
UCCAAUUGCAAGCACGUCGAAAACCCUUAUAUUGAAAGGCGAGCCUCGCUCUAUGGCAAUAAACCAAGCAGGUAAUAGAUGUUGCGGACCCGGGGGCGGUACCCGGCGCCUCCACCAAAGAGCCAAUUC